Molecule: ribosomal RNA, 1465 nt
Filed under: Prochlorococcus sp. AG-432-K17
Lineage: Bacteria; Bacillati; Cyanobacteriota; Cyanophyceae; Synechococcales; Prochlorococcaceae
Description: bacterial SSU rRNA
Rfam family: Bacterial small subunit ribosomal RNA
Source: RNAcentral
AGAGUUUGAUCCUGGCUCAGGAUGAACGCUGGCGGCGUGCUUAACACAUGCAAGUCGAACGAACCUUCGGGUUAGUGGCGGACGGGUGAGUAACGCGUGGGAAUCUGCCCUCAGGAGGGGGAUAACGGUUGGAAACGACCGCUAAUACCCCAUAUGCCGAGAGGUGAAAUGAAUUUCGCCUGAGGAUGAGCCCGCGUCUGAUUAGCUUGUUGGUGAGGUAAUGGCUCACCAAGGCAUCGAUCAGUAGCUGGUCUGAGAGGAUGAUCAGCCACACUGGGACUGAGACACGGCCCAGACUCCUACGGGAGGCAGCAGUGGGGAAUUUUCCGCAAUGGGCGCAAGCCUGACGGAGCAACGCCGCGUGAGGGACGAAGGCCUCUGGGCUGUAAACCUCUUUUCUCAAGGAAGAAGAUAUGACGGUACUUGAGGAAUAAGCCACGGCUAAUUCCGUGCCAGCAGCCGCGGUAAUACGGGAGUGGCAAGCGUUAUCCGGAAUUAUUGGGCGUAAAGCGUCCGCAGGCGGCCUUUCAAGUCUGCUGUUAAAGCGUGGAGCUUAACUCCAUCAUGGCAGUGGAAACUGAUUGGCUUGAGUAUGGUAGGGGCAGAGGGAAUUCCCGGUGUAGCGGUGAAAUGCGUAGAUAUCGGGAAGAACACCAGUGGCGAAGGCGCUCUGCUGGGCCAUUACUGACGCUCAUGGACGAAAGCCAGGGGAGCGAAAGGGAUUAGAUACCCCUGUAGUCCUGGCCGUAAACGAUGAACACUAGGUGUCGGGGGAAUCGACCCCUUCGGUGUCGUAGCUAACGCGUUAAGUGUUCCGCCUGGGGAGUACGCACGCAAGUGUGAAACUCAAAGGAAUUGACGGGGGCCCGCACAAGCGGUGGAGUAUGUGGUUUAAUUCGAUGCAACGCGAAGAACCUUACCAGGGCUUGACAUCCUGCGAACCUUUAAGAAAUUAGAGGGUGCCUUCGGGAACGCAGUGACAGGUGGUGCAUGGCUGUCGUCAGCUCGUGUCGUGAGAUGUUGGGUUAAGUCCCGCAACGAGCGCAACCCACGUUUUUAGUUGCCAGCAUUUAGUUGGGCACUCUAGAAAGACCGCCGGUGAUAAACCGGAGGAAGGUGUGGAUGACGUCAAGUCAUCAUGCCCCUUACGUCCUGGGCUACACACGUACUACAAUGCUACGGACAAAGGGCAGCAAACUCGCGAGAGCUAGCAAAUCCCAUAAACCGUGGCUCAGUUCAGAUCGUAGGCUGCAACUCGCCUACGUGAAGUAGGAAUCGCUAGUAAUCGCAGGUCAGCAUACUGCGGUGAAUACGUUCCCGGGCCUUGUACACACCGCCCGUCACACCAUGGAAGUUGGCCACGCCCGAAGUCGUUACUUUAACCCUUGUGGAGAAGGACGCCGAAGGUGGGGCUGAUGACUGGGGUGAAGUCGUAACAAGGUAGCCGUACCGGAAGGUGCGGCUG